Molecule: ribosomal RNA, 449 nt
Filed under: uncultured bacterium
Lineage: Bacteria
Description: partial 16S ribosomal RNA
Rfam family: Bacterial small subunit ribosomal RNA
Source: RNAcentral
AACGAACGCUGGCGGCAGGCUUAACACAUGCAAGUCGAACGAGAUCUUCGGAUCUAGUGGCAGACGGGUGAGGAACACGUGGGAACAUCCCUUUCAGUUCGGAAUAACGUUGGGAAACUAACGCUAAUACCGGAUACGUCCUUCGGGAGAAAGAUUUAUCGCUGAAAGAUUGGCCCGCGUCUGAUUAGCUAGUUGGUGAGGUAAUGGCUCACCAAGGCUACGAUCAGUAGCUGAUCUGAGAGGAUGAUCAGCCACAUUGGGACCGAGACACGGCCCAAACUCCUACGGGAGGCAGCAGUGGGGAAUACUGGACAAUGGGCGCAAGCCUGAUCCAGCCAUGCCGCGUGAGUGAUGACGGCCUUCGGGUUGUAAAGCUCUUUUGUCCGGGAAGAUAAUGACUGUACCGGAAGAAUAAGCCCCGGCAAACUUCGUGCCAGCCGCCGCGGUAA